Molecule: non-coding RNA, 105 nt
Organism: Diaporthe citri
Lineage: Eukaryota; Fungi; Ascomycota; Sordariomycetes; Diaporthales; Diaporthaceae
Source: the annotation of a RefSeq genome assembly
GGUGCGAUGGCCGAGUGGUCUAAGGCGCUGUGUUUAGGCUAGAAUAAUUAUUCUUACUUAUAACCGCAGUCUUCACGGGCGUGAGUUCGAAUCUCACUCGCAUCA